AUUGACCGCUGGCGGCAGGCCUAACACAUGCAAGUCGAACGAGUGGCGGACGGGUGAGUAAUGUCUGGGAAACUGCGCGAUGGAGGGGGAUAACUAAUGGAAACGGUAGCUAAUACCGCAUACAAUCGGAUGUGCCCAGAUGGGAUUAGCUAGUAGGGGGGGUAACGGCUCACCUAGGCGACGAUCCCUAGCUGGUCUGAGAGGAUGACCAGCCACACUGGAACUGAGACACGUGCCAGACUCUUACGGGAGGCAGCAGUGGGGAAUAUUGCACAAUGGGCGCAAGCCUGAGGCAGCCAUGCCGCGUGUAUGAAGAAGGCCUUCGGGUUGUAAAGUACUUUCAGCGAGGAGGCGUUACUCUCAGAAGAAGCACCGGCUAACUCCGGGCCAGCAGCCGCGGUAAUUC
This 406-nucleotide ribosomal RNA is filed under the name uncultured bacterium. RNAcentral's name for it is "partial 16S ribosomal RNA". It matches the Rfam family "Bacterial small subunit ribosomal RNA", at positions 30 to 526 of the family's 1533-position model. The record is from RNAcentral.